AAAAAUUUCUGAAUUUGCUAGCUGGCUGCCUGCCAUGGCAGUCAGCCUUCUCUUUCUCCCAAAAAAUAAUCUACCCAAAGCAACUCCACUUUUAGCUAAUGGUUUUUUCCUUUUGGCAGUCACCUUAUUCUCCCUCCCCUUAAUUUGUGAAAGGUCUAGGGGUUAGGCAGCAAGCACGCGAGAGGCGUUUUCAAAACCCUCUUCCCACUUAUAAAAAGGACAAAAAAUAAAAACCAAAGGGAGAAUAAAGAGAGGAGAACCCUAAAAUUCUAACAGCGUCAUACCAACGAAAAAAAGAAACCCAUCCACAAAAUAUAACCGACAGACAAACAUCCAGAGAAUACCAAAAAGAGAACGGAAAGGGGAGUUUCAGCCGCGGGUAUUCUAAGGUUCCUUUGGGGUUCUUGGUUUCGGGUCUUUCAAGGUAGUCUCUAGGUUGUUUGCUACGGUGACAAGGAGAGCAAUGGAGGAGAGAGGGCUGCUGGGUGCGACAGCAGUGUGGAAAUGUAGCACAUAAGGGCGGUUCUUGGAAAUUUUUAGAGAAAGGAAAAGAGAGAGAGGGAAGAUAAGAAGAGGAGGCUAUGGGGUUUUAGUUUUUUAGGUUAGCAACAUUAAGCCCCAAACGGUGUAGUUUUCAGCAGGGAGAGAAAGAAAAAUGAAAGAAAGAAAUAACAAGCAAAGAAACAAAAAAAAUGCAAAAAAGAAAAGAAAAGAGAAAAAGGAAGCACAGGAAAGAAUGAAAAACAUGAAAACAAAGGAAACAAAAGAGAAAAAAAGAUGCAAAGGAAAGAAAAAAAAUGGAAAAAAGGAAAGAAACGAAAAGAGAAAAGAAGGAUUUAAGUUAAAAAAAAAAGGAAAAAAUGAAUAAUGGGAUAAGGAAGGGAGUCGUGCUGAAAGCGUGUCUGGCUUGCCUGGAGGUCCAGGUUGCACUCCGAGCAAGCGCAUUUAAUUUUUGGAGACGGAUAACAAGAGAUGUAGUAGGGCGCACGGCCCAGACAAAGCGAAAGAAGCGAAAGCCCAGCAGGGGAGGUAAAGGAAAGAAGAAUUAUCUAACUCCAGGUGAGGCAUGCUCCGCAGCCUGUUUCUUUUGUUAGUAGAUUUACACUUGUUAUUUUGUUUAGGUAUUUUUAGCACAGUUAAUAGACUUUUUACAUUUUAGAAAAAUAUAAGCCAUGAAAAUAAUAAAAUUGAUGCUUAUAAAAAUAUAGAAAAACUUAUAAUUAAGUUAUUAUAUAAUGAAAAUGAUAACAAUGUUAUAUUAUAAGCAUGUUUGCCACUCCUUGACCUGAGGAAGA
RNAcentral lists this long non-coding RNA (1295 nucleotides) under Theobroma cacao (cacao). RNAcentral describes it as "long non-coding RNA (TCAC_LNC004667)". The record is from RNAcentral. Lineage: Eukaryota; Viridiplantae; Streptophyta; Magnoliopsida; Malvales; Malvaceae.